UACGUAGGGGGCAAGCGUUGUCCGGAUUUAUUGGGCGUAAAGAGCGUGUAGGCGGUUCGGUAGGUCCGUUGUGAAAACUCGAGGCUCAACCUCGAGACGCCGAUGGAAACCCUCGAACUAGAGUCCGGAAGAGGAGAGUGGAAUUCCCGGUGUAGCGGUGAAAUGCGCAGAUAUCGGGAAGAACACCCGUGGCUAAGGCGGCUCUCUAGUACGGUACUGACGCUGAGACGCGAAAGCCAGGGGAGCGAACGGG
This 253-nucleotide ribosomal RNA is filed under the name uncultured bacterium. Its description in RNAcentral is "partial 16S ribosomal RNA". It matches the Rfam family "Bacterial small subunit ribosomal RNA", at positions 524 to 776 of the family's 1533-position model. The record is from RNAcentral.